UUAAGCAUAUCAAUAAGCGGAGGAAAAGAAACCAACAGGGAUUGCCCUAGUAACGGCGAGUGAAGCGGCAACAGCUCAAAUUUGAAAUCUGGCCCUUUCAGGGUCCGAGUUGUAAUUUGUAGAGGGUGUUUUGGCGUCGGCCGUGGUCUAAGUUCCUUGGAACAGGACGUCACAGAGGGUGAGAAUCCCGUACGUGGCCGCCGGUCUUCGCCGUGUAAAACCCCUUCGACGAGUCGAGUUGUUUGGGAAUGCAGCUCUAAAUGGGAGGUAAAUUUCUUCUAAAGCUAAAUAUUGGCCAGAGACCGAUAGCGCACAAGUAGAGUGAUCGAAAGAUGAAAAGCACUUUGGAAAGAGAGUCAAAAAGCACGUGAAAUUGUUGAAAGGGAAGCGCUUGCAGCCAGACUUGCCUGUAGUUGCUCAUCCGGGCUCUUGCCCGGUGCACUCUUCUAUGGGCAGGCCAGCAUCAGUCCAGGCGGUUGGAUAAAGGCCUGCUAAAUGUACCUCCCCCCGGGGAGGACUUAUAGGGCAGGCGACAUACAACCAGCUUGGAUUGAGGUCCGCGCAUCUGCUAGGAUGCUGGCGUAAUGGCUGUAAGCGGCCCGUCUUGAAACACGGACCAAGGAGUCUAACAUCUAUGCGAGUGUUUGGGUGUCAAGCCCGGACGCGUAAUGAAAGUGAACGGAGGUGGGAACCCCUCGGGGCGCACCAUCGACCGAUCCUGAUGUCUUCGGAUGGAUUUGAGUAAGAGCAUAGCUGUUGGGACCCGAAAGAUGGUGAACUAUGCCUGAAUAGGGUGAAGCCAGAGGAAACUCUGGUGGAGGCUCGCAGCGGUUCUGACGUGCAAAUCGAUCGUCAAAUUUGGGC
RNAcentral lists this ribosomal RNA (864 nucleotides) under Pseudohelminthosporium clematidis. RNAcentral's name for it is "partial large subunit ribosomal RNA". It matches the Rfam family "Eukaryotic large subunit ribosomal RNA", at positions 34 to 916 of the family's 3401-position model. The record is from RNAcentral. Lineage: Eukaryota; Fungi; Ascomycota; Dothideomycetes; Pleosporales.